UCCUCGCCCCUGUGGCGGAAAUGGGAGGGUGCCUGGAGGAGUGGAGGGAUUGGAUUUACACCCUCUUUUCCCUCCGAAGCCUCCUUGGUGGGGGCGAAGAAAGACCAUCCAACCCUGCCAAAGGCAAAAGGAUUAAGGAUAAAUGAAAGCAAGAUAAUGUAGAAGAACUACUUAGCUGCUGGGUUUUUGGAGAUGAGUGAUUUUUUUUUGUAGGGAGAAAUUAUGAAACACAUUGAAAUGGACAAAAAAUUACUGAAUGUCUUCAAUGAAAAAACAGCCAUAGUUUGGCACACCGUCCCGGGCAUUCUGUUGCUAGAGGGGCUGUCCGCUUUUCUUUGUGGUGCUCUGCACAACUCGUUCCCUCUGGAAAGGCAUCAGGGGAGGCAUUUGGGAAAGCUGGCACUUUCCUUUUGCCCUUCACAUCACAUGAUUGAUUGGAAAAAUGGGAAAUGACAAGUGGCAUCAACAAGCGGGGCAAAGAGCUAGCCCAGUCAACCUACGAUGGGCCCCAUUCAAGGGGCACAGAGGGACAGAGGGACAGAAGGCUGAAGACUGGCUGGCUGGGGUGCAGCGAUGCUACAGAACGCCCCAUGGGACUUGGCAUGAAUAGGAAGCGUGGCCAGAGUUUUCCAGAGCAGGAAAUCAAGCUGGAGAGAAUACCUGGCUUGGCCCCAGGCCUCAUUGAACCCAGAACUGUCUACCACUUUCCAUUGCACCAAGCAGAGAAGAAGAGUGAGUGGGCUGGCUGGAGCAAGGUCUUGUUUUUCUGGAACCCAACCCAAGAGACCUUUGUGUGAGAACUGGAAGCCUCACACUUACAGCAAUGGCCAGGGACAGACCUGCAGUCCUUUCCAACCAGGCAACCCACCGUGGGGUCCUGGUGAAAACAGAGAGGUGUCCCCACCACCCGCACUGAUGAGCUUGCUCUCAAGACCUUCAGGCCAUAACCCCAACUGGGAGUGGGGAUGGGCCAAAGAGCUGACCAGGCACUGAGGAGGAGCCCGGAGGUGGAGGUCAGGAGCAGCUGGAAGAGCAGGAGGAGCCCGGAGGUGGAGGAAAGUAUGAAGCAACUUUCUGUGCCAGGCACCGUGCUGGCUUUGCCCCGGGAUGGGUGAGGAAGCUGUGGAAAGAGCCAGUUGUUCGUGCAGGCAUGGAUGACUAACGUGAGAGAUGAAGAAGCCCUUUCUCUGGAGACAGUCUUGAACUAGAUGAGCUCAUGGAGCCUUUGAAAAGCAUUCACCUGCUCAGGCCUCCUGCACUUGCAUCUUCAGCUCUGACCUUUCCACUGAGCUACAGGCUCACACCUACUUGUCGUCUCCAUCUGGAUAUCUACCAGCUGGAAGCUCUGUGACAGCAGAGACCUUCUCUAUCAUGUUCCCUGCAGUAUUUCCUGCUUUGAGAGCAGUUCCUGGCACAUUAGCUGGGGCUCAAUAGAGUGCUGUUGAAAAAAUGAGCAAACCGAGACCAGGUAGUGGGGACAGCCCCAGGGGCUCCCCAUCUAGAGAAGCGAUGGAGACAAACUGGCAUCUAUAACAUGCAGCUCCAUGGAUACUUUGCUACACGGCAGACGGGGGUUGCAGGAGCCUUGAAGAUGUGACUCUACCCCGCAUGCAUGGGAGCCGGUGCAGGGGAAAGUUCCUGGAGAAGUUGUGUCCAAGUUGAGACCUAAAGGAUGAGGAGAGCCCUGAGUCACCAUGAAAGAUUUCUGGCCACCCUGCUGAAGAGGCCACAUGGGGAGGCCACAUGGAGAGGAGGAGAGGUCCACUGAUCCAGCAUUUUAGUUGAGCUUCCAGCUGACUCCAGCCUCAAGCUUUAUCUGAAUGCACCUGCAUGAGAGACUUCUAAGCAAGACCAGCAGAAGAUCCACCCGCUGAUCCCAGACAACCCAUGGAACCAUGAGAGAGCCAAUAAA
This 1912-nucleotide long non-coding RNA is filed under the name Homo sapiens (human). RNAcentral's name for it is "HSALNT0300951". The record is from RNAcentral. Lineage: Eukaryota; Metazoa; Chordata; Mammalia; Primates; Hominidae.